AUGAGGAUGAUGAUAGUGAUGACACGCCAAGAGGAGGAAGAAGUGAGGGCAAAUGAUAAAGGAAACAAGGAGAAAGCGAGAACCCGACGAUGGGAAAGUCAUGGGCAUCAGCGGCGGCUCCGUAGCCCACAUCACAUUCACCGCGUCGCUCCGCACGUCCUCGCCCCACUUCUGCUCUUUCUUCCCAACUCCGACGAUGGGAAAGUCGCGGGCCUCGGCGGCGGCUCCGGAGCCCGCCUUCAAACUCUGGGGAUAUCGCACUCAUCGGUGGCCAGCUCCUCGGCGAUGGAGGAGAUCGUCAUCUCCUCUAGCGACAAGGAGUACCAACCGCCACAACAGCAGUCAGCGGCACAACAGCAGCCACUGACACAGGGCGCGGUCUAUGCGUGA
Molecule: ribosomal RNA, 390 nt
Filed under: Triticum aestivum (bread wheat)
Lineage: Eukaryota; Viridiplantae; Streptophyta; Magnoliopsida; Poales; Poaceae
Description: partial small subunit ribosomal RNA
Source: RNAcentral